CGCCCCUACGUGCGGCGCCGCCCCCGCACCCCCGCCGCCUCCCGCUUCCCAUCCUCCCCUUCCUCCCCCUCUGACCCCACCCCAACGCGUCUCUGUAUCCACAUCUUCGAGCAACGAAGCAGGCCGGAGAAGUCCAGCACGAGCGUCUACGUCGUCUCCGUCGGAUCCCGCCGCCUCUCCUUCAAGUCUGGCCGGCCUGCUGCUCCUAAUCCACCGCCGAUCCUCCACGGGCUCGUCGGGCUGGUGAGGUCGCCGGUGUUGGCCAUGUUACCGCGGAUCGGGUCGCACCUCUUCGUCACCUUGGGCAUCCUCUAGAGCUUCCCUGAGACGAGGACACACAUCCUGGUGAACUCCUUGGUCAUCAGCUGGUCCAUCACCGAGGUAUGCAUGCUCCUGAAUCCUGAUAAUCUAGGAAUUAUAGCUCUUCAAAUUAACUAUAUUAUCGAGCGGCGAGGUGCUGUUGUUGCUGUUAGACUAGCUGAAGAUGUGCUCCUGAACUAAUGAAAUGCGAUGGUGAUAUUUACAUAUGGAUGUUGUUGUUCCAAGCUGAGUUUCAAGAUACUUGUCGUAGGUGUAUCACACAAAAUUGCUGCAGCUUCAUUCACUAUACAAUUGUGGGCUGAAUACUUGUGUUUCAAGAUACUUGUUGUAGGUGUAUCACACAAAAUAGCAAAAUUCAGUUAAACCACUGUAUCUAGAGUAAAAUUCAGUUAAACUACUGAUGUAGUGUGAAAUUCAGUUAAACUACUGAUGCAGUGUAAAAUUCGGUUAAACUACUGUAACUAUAGUAAAAUUCAAUUAAACUACUAAUGCAGUGUAAAAUUACCGUAAUACAUCAUGGAUUAGUGACCCGUCUAGAUAAAGAGAGUCCAUAAUACAUAUGGCCUGGGACCAAUGGUCCUCCUCCUACCUGCUCCACAGUAUGUACAUAUCAAGAAAGAGUAGAAAACAACAGAAAGUAGCACAUAUAUUUGUUUAGCCUUUUGGGGGAAGCUGCAAAAUACAAAUUAUAUACAGCACAAAAGCAGCAGAAGAUUUCUCAAAAAACAAAUGCAGCAGAAAAACAACUCAAACAACAAUUGGAAAAUUUGUUCAGAUAGAAGUGAGACCUUAUGUUUUUCAGAUCCAAUAGCAACAUGUAUUUUUUUUCUUGGAUCAACUAAAGAAUGGUUUCUUUAUGUGCCCUUCAUACUUGAUUUGUUAACUUGUGCCAUAGAACUUACAUAUAUAGUCCCUCUUGUACCACCUAUGUUUGUGUUGGUCUGCUAGAUAACUUGUUUCACUUGUUUUUAUGCAAGCAAAACUUCUGCUUGACUGUUAAGUUGUACAAUAUGUACUUGUACUGUUGGAAGCUGAUUAAUUUGGCGCAAUUUUAUUUUUGUUUUGUCAAGUCUAUGCACUGAUUGAGUUAGAUGAAAAUGUUUAGUGGCACCAAUUUCUGCAAGUCUGUUCAGUCAGCAGGGCUAGCACUAUGGUCUUUCUGUUUCGUACAACUGCAAUUUCAUUUAUGUUGUUAUAAGUUUGUUGAUGUCAGCAUGAGUUAACUUGGUAUGCAGUAGGCACUGGUCUCAUUCUUAGACCGACAAACCCGCAGCGCGCAUUCAGGCAUCAUUUGGUUGUUAGACUGUUUAGCUAUGUAGAGUGAAAUUCAGUUGUGCUAGCAAAGAGGAGGCCUCCAGAUUUUUUUUCUUUGCCUAGAUUCAAGUAUUACAAAUCGUUUGAUGUAAUUCCUUCAUUGGAAAAUCAUUGCUUAAACUAUUUAGGCAGUAGUGUGCGGCGCAACUCUUUGCAAGAUGUUUUUUGAGAAACACA
Triticum aestivum (bread wheat) is the source of this 1812-nucleotide long non-coding RNA. RefSeq lists it as uncharacterized. Lineage: Eukaryota; Viridiplantae; Streptophyta; Magnoliopsida; Poales; Poaceae. The record is from RefSeq and is a predicted model, not a curated record. The transcript is spliced from 3 exons.